RNAcentral lists this transfer RNA (65 nucleotides) under Priapella compressa (Palenque priapella). Its description in RNAcentral is "tRNA-Cys". Lineage: Eukaryota; Metazoa; Chordata; Actinopteri; Cyprinodontiformes; Poeciliidae. The record is from RNAcentral.
AGUUCCGGGGUGUCAUCAUAUCAGAUUGCAAAUCCGAAGAAGCAGGCUAACACCUGCCGGGGCUU